CAAGGAAAUGCGUUUCGCACGGGAAACCACGAUAACUCUUCCAGCCGUUCAUUCCAAUAGGUCUUGUUUUCGCAAUUUUUGACGCAGUUUUUUUAUGUUCUCGUUGUACAACAACGAAGACUUAAAACUUCAUUGCAAUUAUGAGUGGAGCAACGAGGGAAUCGAUUGUUGCAAGCAAUGAAAGUCAGUGCAUCAUCGAAGAGAAUCUCAAUCAACUUCUAUAUCGAUCUACCUCAAUUUCAACCACCAUUAAAUUUCGACCUAAAUCGCGGAUAAGUGAUUUCGCAGAACUUUUUAAAUAGUAAAUAAAUUUUUAAGUCCCUCCGAUCAUAUCGAGGACAAUUGGUAUUGUAUGAUUUUGGUUGUAGUUAUUUCGUAAAAAAGUAUUGAGUGACCGCGAUAAGAUAUUCUUUUUAUCAAUUUUUAGAUAUUUUCAGAUCAACUAUCAGAUCAAUUAAUUACCUUUUCUUGUUCGAAUAAGCCAGAGAUAGGACGAGUCGGGUAAUGAAAGCUUUUCUAAGAACGAUCUUCCGUAUUUUUAACAAAAAAGAAUAGUCCCUAUUUAUUGAAAAGCAUAGUCAUAUAAUAAUUAAAACGAUUAUACUAGUUCAAUUAUUCUAGUUUCUCUUUCUUCUUCUUUCAGCAAGGAAGUAUCUCAAAUCAAGUUCGAUUUCUUUCAUUAUGCUCGGAUAGAGCAAUCUUCAAGAUGUCUAUCCAUCGUUAUAUCACUUUUAUCGUUUUCACGCUCGUACGUACGUUCUAUCGCAUUUUCCGGCUUUUCUUUUUUUCCCCCUUCUUUUUUUCCAGGCUAAAUAAUCGAGGGAUGGAUUCAUCGGUGGGAUAGAAGAUAAUCGGUGAGGUUUCGUUGUAUAGUGCGGAGACUAUUGCACUUGUAAUUCAUAUUUUGUCCAUAUCCUCGUCGUUGAAGUCGCAUAUACUACGAGCGAAAGGUGGUGAAUAGCCUCAAUGCAUUAGCGUGUCACCUUUUACUAACAGAUGCCGGCUCGUCCGUUAUGCAUUUUUUUCCUUUAGACAUUUCGCGUUAAGCAUACCUGUAUGUAUAUACUUACCUAUCAACCGAAAAGUUUUCAGCUAACAAAUUAUUUGUUCUCUGUACAGUUAUCGCGAGUGUAUGUUUUUCAAAGUGGAAACGAAAAGAUGGGUGCAUAAAUAUAUUAUUUCUUAUCUCUGCAAUUAUAUAAUAACGUAAGAGUCAAGAAAAUAUGUCUUUUAUUCUUCCAUUAGUCAGUAAGUAUAUCUAUCUAUAUGUAUA
This is a long non-coding RNA of Vespa mandarinia (Asian giant hornet), 1273 nucleotides long. The record is from RefSeq and is a predicted model, not a curated record. Lineage: Eukaryota; Metazoa; Arthropoda; Insecta; Hymenoptera; Vespidae.